Molecule: ribosomal RNA, 253 nt
Filed under: uncultured bacterium
Lineage: Bacteria
Description: partial 16S ribosomal RNA
Rfam family: Bacterial small subunit ribosomal RNA
Source: RNAcentral
UACGUAGGGUGCAAGCGUUAAUCGGAAUUACUGGGCGUAAAGCGUGCGCAGGCGGUUAUGCAAGACAGAUGUGAAAUCCCCGGGCUUAACCUGGGAACUGCAUUUGUGACUGCAUAGCUGGAGUACGGCAGAGGGGGAUGGAAUUCCGCGUAUAGCAGUGAAAUGCGUAGAUAUGCGGAGGAACACCGAUGGCGAAGGCAGUCCCCUGAACCUGUACUGACGCUCAUGCACGAAAGCGUGGGGAGCAAACAGG